Molecule: RNase P RNA, 355 nt
Filed under: Clostridiaceae bacterium
Lineage: Bacteria; Bacillati; Bacillota; Clostridia; Eubacteriales; Clostridiaceae
Also listed under: 1 other name
Description: RNase P RNA component class A
Rfam family: Bacterial RNase P class A
About the family: Ribonuclease P (RNase P) is a ubiquitous endoribonuclease, found in archaea, bacteria and eukarya as well as chloroplasts and mitochondria. Its best characterised activity is the generation of mature 5'-ends of tRNAs by cleaving the 5'-leader elements of precursor-tRNAs.
Source: RNAcentral
CGAGCAAACCAGACAACCGCGGGCGAUGGCCGAAAGACCACGCAUGAGGAAAGUCCGGGCUCCAUAGGGUAAAGGCGCCGGGUAACCCCCGGUGAAGGCGACUUUAAGGAUAGUGCAACAGAAAUAGACCGCCGUCGGUCCCCAGCGGCUGACGGCAAGGGUGGAAAGGUGAGGUAAGAGCUCACCAGCAGUCCGGAGACGGGCUGGCUCUGCAAACCCCGCCUGGAGCAACACCGUGGAGGGACACAGAUUGCGACCCGCAAGUCCCGGGGAGGUGGCUUGAGCUGUUCGGCAACGUACAGCCUAGACAGAUGGUUGUCCAAUACAGGACCCGGCUUACAGAUUUGCUCGGAAA